RNAcentral lists this ribosomal RNA (253 nucleotides) under uncultured bacterium. Its description in RNAcentral is "partial 16S ribosomal RNA". It matches the Rfam family "Bacterial small subunit ribosomal RNA", at positions 524 to 776 of the family's 1533-position model. The record is from RNAcentral.
UACGUAGGGUGCAAGCGUUGCCCGGAUUUAUUGGGCGUAAAGGGCGCGUAGGCGGCUUGGCAAGUGGAAGGUGAAAUCCCUCGGCUUAACCGAGGAACUGCCCUCCAAACUGCUUCGCUUGAGACCGGGAGAGGUGAGUGGAAUUCCCAGUGUAGCGGUGAAAUGCGUAGAUAUUGGGAGGAACACCAGUGGCGAAGGCGGCUCACUGGACCGGUACUGACGCUGAUGCGCGAAAGCGUGGGGAGCAAACGGG